This 769-nucleotide long non-coding RNA is filed under the name Ananas comosus (pineapple). Its description in RNAcentral is "long non-coding RNA (ACOM_LNC015279)". The record is from RNAcentral. Lineage: Eukaryota; Viridiplantae; Streptophyta; Magnoliopsida; Poales; Bromeliaceae.
UUUCAAUUUAAAAUUUGAACCUAAAAUCAAAAUAAAAAUUUAAAAUUUGAGUUCAAAAUUAUAAUCAAAUUGCAAAAAGCACGUUUUAGCUAUUUUUUUAUUCUGAGUCUAGAAAAUUAGAAAACUGAUUCUAAAAAUCAGAAUCAUAUUUUGAAAACGAGGUUACAAACACUCUAUUAAGCCGAAAAUUAUUUUUAAACCAAAAAUCACUUUUAAAAAGCUAGUCCAAAUGCCUAAAUUAUAAAAUUUGAGACCGGAGUCACGAACCUAAAUUUAAGAAUAUCCAUGCCCAUACCCUUAUCAAUAUUCACACUCCUUUAAAAAAAAAAAAAAGUUUUUUUCUUUCCACAAAUACCCCUCAAUUAAAAUAUAACAACAAAAAUGAUAUUAUGGUCUUAUCGGUUAACUAUUUGAUAAUUUUAGAUUUUCUAUGAUAAAAUUAUUAUAGAGAUAUUUUAAAACCGUUAAAUCUCAUCCAAUGAAUGACAAUUAAAAUAUCCGUCACUUGUUUUCUUUGAUAGAAUUAUCUUUUUUUUGCAAGAUUUUCAAAUUCUUAAAAAAUUGAAUUCUCUUAAAUCGCGCGUCAAACUCCACUUUCUCACAUUAAAACUCUCUCUCUGGUUCCCAUAAAUUUUUCUCAUUUCAAUUUCCCACUUCACAUCCUCCUGCCCCACCUUUAAAAAAAAAAAAAAAAAAAAAAAGCUUUCUCUCUCUCGGCUAAACAAAAAAAAAAAAAAAAAAAAAAAAAAAAAAAAAAAAAAAACCUUUU